This 301-nucleotide ribosomal RNA is filed under the name uncultured bacterium. Its description in RNAcentral is "partial 16S ribosomal RNA". It matches the Rfam family "Bacterial small subunit ribosomal RNA", at positions 509 to 808 of the family's 1533-position model. The record is from RNAcentral.
CAGUACCGCGGUAAUACGUAGGUGGCAGGCGUUGUCCGGAAUUAUUGGGCGUAAAGGGCUCGCAGGCGGUUUCUUAAGUCUGAUGUGAAAGCCCCCGGCUCAACCGGGGAGGGUCAUUGGAAACUGGGAAACUUGAGUGCAGAAGAGGAGAGUGGAAUUCCACGUGUAGCGGUGAAAUGCGUAGAGAUGUGGAGGAACACCAGUGGCGAAGGCGACUCUCUGGUCUGUAACUGACGCUGAGGAGCGAAAGCGUGGGGGGCGAACAGGAUUAGAUACCCCCGUAGUCCCUGUCUCUUAUACA